AGUCUAUGUACACACAGAAAAGUGUGAAGUUUUAGUCCCUCCUUGUCUCACAAUGAUAAAUACGUGAUGUUUUACAAAAGAUGAAUAAUAAAAAGAAGAAAUUCGCCAGCAAAACUGAAAGCGCAACAAAGAAAGUGAUAAACUAGAAGUAGAGGUAGAAUUGAACAUAAAUGGAGUUAUAAAAGAAAUAAAUGACCAUAAAAAUGUUGACACUGCUGUCAUUGGAGAAAUUCUAGAUAAGUAGCCAGAAGGAACUUAGUAAAAGUCUACUUAAUGGUGUAAAUAAGGAAAGUGGUUCUGACGAAAAGAAUGAAGAUGUCCUUGAGGAAGCGCUGCCAGGAAUAAACUCAGCAUUAAAAGAAUUCUCAGAGACAUUUUACAGCAUUGAAAGUGCAAAGGGUAAAAUAAUGUAAACGGAUCCAAACUUAAGAAGGAAUAUGACAAGUUGCCAAGAUAUAGAAGUGAAGCUUGCUUCCUAUCAUAAGAUAUACCAUGAGAAGAAGAGCCAGACCUUGAUUUCAUGCGAGAAGGUGGAGUAGGAGGAAGAGAAGGAGGAGAGUUAGAAGGAGUAGGAGGAGGAGGAAAACCUCCUGCAGGCUCGUCUGAGUAUAUUCCUAGGUGAUGGCAGAGGGGCAAGAAAGCAAGCAAAAAGAAGCACAGAAGCCCUCUCAUGGCCAAAACUGGCUUGGUGUCACUUUUACCUCAUUCUAUUGGUCAAAAAAAGUCAACAGGCUGAGCCCAGAGUCAGAGUGGGAGAGUACUGCAUGGUUACAUGACAGAGGAUGUGGAUAUGAGGAAUCGUGAAGAACUGCAUCCAUUAGAGCCAUCUGUCACAGAAGGGACUAUUGUCAUUUUACUAAUUUUGUACAUGAGGAUAGGGAAGCAUGGAGAUGGUAACAUGCCUAAAGUCACAUAGCUUCUUAGCUGUGGAACCAGAAAGUAAACCUGGGCCUUCUGGGCCCAGGGCCCGUGGCUGUUAAAACCACUGUGCACACUGCCUUACUCCUACCCUUCACAAUCAGGUUUCUGCUCUGACCACCCUAGAAAACAUGCCCGUCUCAGGUUACCGAUGCUCUCCUAUGGACAGAUCCAAUAGCCUUUGUUAAUUGUCCACAUCUCUAUCCAUUCUGUAAUACUCCUGCAUGCUGCAUCCUUGGAGUUCUUUUCUCCUUUGAUUCUGCAGAACCUGUACUGUUUUGUUUCUCUUUCUGGCUUCCUCUGUCUGUCUCUCUUCACCAACUACAUAAUGCAUUCACUUCUUUUUCUUGGCAUCUCCCUUUCCAAGCACACCCACUCUCCUGGUUUCCAUUAUCUCCCUGCAGACAACUCUCAACUGGCUCUAAGAAAGCUCACUAUAAUUUUCAGCAACCUAAUUCAGUCGUUUGUCCGUCACAAAUAACAGCUCAGGAAAAUCAAAGGAUUUUCUCACUAGCAUCUUAUCAUUCCAUGUCACCUAGCAACUAUCCCAGUGCUUGAUAUUCUGCUACUAGAAACUCCCUACUACACAGAUAAUACCACUGGAAGGUAUAAAGCCACUUGACUGACCUCUCUCCAUUCACAGCAUUUAUAACUGUAAGAAAUUGCCAGUGGUUGACUCUUUCCGACCUUCGAAAGUGGCAAUUUCAUGUGGUUCAGCUUAAUAGUAUUUAUUACCUUGUGCUGUAAUAAUUUUGUAUCUGUAUCUCCCAUGAGACUCAAAGCUGCUUGAUUGAGGAGAUCAUGCUUGCUUCUGCUUUUCAUCAAGUUGCCUAGUACAUGACACUCUGUAAGGAUUAGACCAAGUAGGUAUUGAAUAAUUGUUUGGCGAAUUUAAAAAAUUAAAGAAACAUUUGAAAUCAAUGCACCAGAGGCUAGAGACAGAGUGCUAGGAAGGGAACAGGAUGGGGACAGGGACACCAGAGCAAAGAUAGAGUCAAAGACACAUUUCCAAAAUGGCAAUUCAUGCCUUGUGUCAGUUGUACCCACCUCACAUUCUUUAACACUUAAGGUUUUUCUGGGUAGUAAGUGCAAUACAUUCUUAUUAUAAAACAAUAUAGACAGUUCAGUAUGUAUAAAUGAGGAUAAAAUCAAAAUCACCCACAAUCUCACCACUUUGUGAUAAUAACCAUUAACUUCAAUAUUGAUGAAUUUCCUUGAAUGUUUUAUCUACAAUAUUUCUUUCAUAUAGUUGAUAUCACUCUGUAUGCACAAACUUGUAUCCUUUUUCUAAAUCUUAAUAUCAUAAUAUUAGCAUUUUCUAAUGUUAGUAGAUGUACUUCUUAAAUAUUGCUUUUUAAUGAUAAAGGUUUUUUUUUUUUUUUUUACAAAUAAAGAUUUGUCUAUAUUUUGGGUUAUUUCCUUAACACAUAUUCACAAAGGUAAGAAUUAAAAAGUAAUUUUAACUAAGUCAAGGAGCAUGAAAAGUUUUUAGAUUCUUGGUACACAUUUUUAUCCAGUGUUUUAAAAAACUACUACCAUAGUACACAUCUCCAAUUUCAAUAUCUCUAUGUGAGUGCUUGCCUUAUCAUGAAAAAGUCAAUAUUGAAUAUUAUUAUUAUUUUAUUAUACUUUUAUAACUUCAUUGGCAAAAUGUUAACCUGCCAUUUUAAAGUUUGCCUUUGUUAGAUUAUUAGAGAGAUUGAAUUUGUUUUCAGACAAAUAUUUUAUUAAGUAUGUUAUUUUCUCAUGAAAAUGGUUUGUUCAUAACCUUUGCCUUUUGAUCUAUUGGAAUGUGUUUUCUAAUCAGCAAGAAUAUUAGUUUUAUUUUGCUUAUUAUAUAUUUGAAUUUACUUUUACUUUUAUAAAAAUAAUACCUGCAUAUAGUUAAAAGCCACAGGGUGCUAAAAGAUUUGUGGCAAAAUAACAGCAGUCCCUUUCUCUGAAGCCCUCCUCAGGACCUAUUCUCAUGUGUCAGAAGCAACUACUUUCAAUUUUUUAGCUGUUUCUUCUAAACAUUUUUUGACCAUUUUUUGAGGUUGGGUUUUAGGUGAGAUCUGCCAUGGUAUCCUAUUAUGAAGACAAAGAUUUUGCCUCUUUUAGACAGCCUCCUCAUUUUCUUCUUAAUCCUCCUAAAGUGGUUAAAGUGCAAUUUUUGGUUAAAUUACAAGUCAGUGUUUCUAAAUGCAACGUGGACUCAUGCAUUGGAUCCCGGAAUAGAAAAACUGGUAAAAUUAAAAUGGUAUCUAGUGUCACAUAGUACUGUAUUGACAAAUGUCACAUGGUUAUGGAAGAUAUUAAAAUGCAGGGAAUCUGGGUGAAGGGUAUACAGGUAUACAGAGACUAUAUACAGGUAUAUAGUCUCUGUACUAUAUUGACAACUGUUCUAUAAAUCUAAAGUUAUUCCUAAGGUAAAAGUUUAUUCAAGGAAAGUCAGUAUUUACACUACGAUACACAUAUAUUUGCUGCUGAGCCAAAAAGUAUGCCAUAGUUAUGGCUGCUUUGUAGUACAACAUUUACUUUUUUUUCUAGAGUUAAUACUUGCCUCAUUUUAAAUUUAUUUAUGAAACUAUGUUCCAAAUCCUCAAGUAAAUCUGUUUAACAGAUAUGACAAAUAUCUGUCAAUAUUAUUAUCCAAGUGCUUAAAUACAUCUGAUAAUCUACAGUUAAAUAUGUUUUAAUCUACAGUUAAAUAUGUUUUCCCCUGGUACCUCCUUCUUUGAGCCCUUGAUUCUACUGCUCUAAUUUGGUUGAUUGAUUUGGAACCUUCCUUUUCCUCUUCCCUGUGUUGGAUUUGCUGUUUGCUGGAUUCCUGUCUUACUUACUCUUCACUUAUCCUUUAUUUUGCUAAAAUAAAUAUAUCUUCCAUACCAUUCUAAGAAAGAGUAUAUGAUGGAUGAACAGUUGAGUCAGGGCUAAUACUAUUCUUACUCUACUCUUAUACCUGUUUGUAAUUUGAAUAGUAUAGAAUAAUAGCUGGGAAUACAUUUUCCUCCGGAUUUGGAAGGCAUUGUUCCAUAGUCUUGUAGCUUCCAGUGUGACUCUUGAAUAGUCCGAUAUGAUUCUGAUUGCAGAUUCUAAUUAUGCACCUAUUUUUCCUCCGAGGUUACUUAUUUAUUUUUUUUGAGGCGGAGUUUCGCUUUUGUUGCCCAGGCUGGAGUGCAAUGGUACAACGUUGGCUCACUCCAACCUCUGCCUCUCAGGUUCAAGCGAUUCUCCUGCCUCAGCCUCCAAAGUAGCUGGGAUUACAGGCAUGCGCCACCACCCCCAGCUAAUUUUGUAUUUUUAGUAGAGAUGGGAUUUCUCCAUGUUGGUCAGGCUGGUCUCGAACUCCCAACCUUAGGUGAUCCACCUGCCUCGGCCUCCCAAAGUGCUGGGAUUACAGGCGUGACCCACGACGCCCAGCCUCGUCUGAAUUUUUUAGCAUCUUCUCCUUAUCUAUCUCUGAAGUAACAUUUUACUAUCAUGUAUCUUGAUUAGUUUUUUCAUUCAUUCAUUCAUUCAUUCAUUCAUUCAUUCAUUCAUUCAUUCUUCUGGGCAUUUUGACAAGAUCUUUCAACCUAGAAAUACGGUUUUUCUUCUUUAUUUUCUUCUUUAUUCUCUCUGAUCUCUGGAGUUCCUACUAAUUGAGUCUUCUGGGUUGAUCCUCUAACUUUUCUCUCCUAAUCUUUUUGUUUUUGGUUUUGCUCACUUUCUGAAAUAUUUUCUCAAUUGUAUCUUCAAACUCUUCUAUUGCUUUUGAAAAAUAUGGCUAUCCUUUUUGAUGUCAGUCUUUUUGGUAGAUUUUUUAUUUUAUUUUGAAGGCUAUAGAGCAAUAACUGGUGAUCCUAAGCUGUCCAUUCAUACUUAAGAAUAAAGUAUUAAAAAACUAAUUAGGAAACUAUUCCAAGUAAUUUUAAAAUGCAAUACUAUGACUAUAAAACUGUAGUGGGUUAUACUCCAAAGACAAAAACUAUUCCAAAAUAUAUUUAAAUAGUUUUCAGUAAUCAUAUUGUUUGUACAAAUUGAUACUGUUAUUCUAAGUUGUAGAGUAUGUAUUCCUACAUAAAACAAAUGAGUAAUUAUAUGAAAUUCAAAUUCUAUCAUCCUCAGUGUUGUUGAAAUCAGAAUUUUCAUCAUGGGAGAAAGGGCACGAUAGAAGAGAUUAAAUAAAAGCUCUAGUCUGAAUUUAAAUUGAAGCAUCAUUUUAAAUUUGUCAUGUAUUUUAUCUUUUUUAAAAAAAUAAAUCUUAGCCUUGUCUACUGAAAAAGUCUAGAAAUAAUGACCGACCUAGUAGCAAUAAGUUUCCCUAGCAGCCAAAUGGUAGUCUUAUAAUACCAUUUCCCAUUGAAAGCAGCCAGAGUUAUUUAGAGAAAUGGCUGAUUCCCGGCCCAGAACAAAUUGUCCUACAGACAGCAAGAAAAACUAUGAAUGACUAAUGGCAUCAUGUCAAAAGGACUCAGGAGCCCACUUUAAAAGGCCCUUAUAGCCAAAGAUGGGACAAUUGAGCGUAAAAAGGAAAAUAAAUGCAAUGAAUUGAGACACAUUAGAUAUUUUUAAAAUCAUGAGAUCAUAAGCAUAUCAAAGAAAUCUAAUUGGUCAACAUUAGAGAACACUGGGGAACCAACUCAUUAUUUUUAAAAGCGGUAAAUAAAAAGAUGGGAUCAAAUAAUUUAUGGGAAUGUUUCUCUGUAAAAUUAUUUUACCUAAUAAAUAAAGACAAAAUAAUAGAGUUACAGUAUAGCAGUUUUGCAAAAUAAAUGAAUCUAGGUAUUGAGCUUCCGUGGCUGCUAACACCAUUCAAAAAAGACUCAGUGAAACACCAUGUACCUUCUAAUGAGCCAACCCAACACCGUCUAAGAAGUAGCUUUGCCACGAAAAUAAAUCUGAAUCUGAUCAGCCUUCAUUUCCCACUCUCAACUUAAAAGAAAUACAGAAGACAGAGGUGUAUGUUAAACUUAGCAUGAGCAAUUGCUUCCAGUUUAGCACUGGAAGUCCUGUGUCUCAGAAAGCCCCCCAGUCCUAGGCAAACCUGUGGGGUUGUCACUCUAUCUGGAAAAGUCAUCAGGAAAACCCAGAAUAUGGCAAAGCCUGUCAGUGGGGUGGGCACAAAGAUCUUGACUUUAGUUGAUUUCUUCUGCUCUCAGUCCUAAGCUUCACCCUAAUAAUUGGGCCUGAGUCUUUCUAGAGUUUGGUGAGACAAGCAGCCUGCUGCUUUAGGCUAUCUUUGUCCUCAGGCACUCACACAAAGUUGUCCAUUUUCUGGCCAUUUCUCCAUCUACUUUUUUUUUUUGGUGUGUAAAAUUGUCAUAAAAUAUACAUAACAGAAAAUUUAUCAUUUUAGCCAUUUUAAAGUGUACGUUUCAGUGACAUUAAGUACAUUCACAUUGUUGUGCAACAAUGACCACCAUCCAUCUCCAGAUCUUUUCACUAUACGCAACGGAAACUCUAUACCCAUUGAACAAUAACUCCCCAUUAUCCUUUGGCCCCACCCUGGCAACCACCAUUUAACUUUUUGUCCCUUUAGAUUUCACUACUUUAGGUACUUCAUAGAAGUAGAAUUAUACAGUAUUUGUCUUUUUGUGACUGGCGUUUUUCCCUCAGCCUGAUGUCUUCAAGGUUCAACUGUAUUUUAGCAUGUAUCAGAACUUCAUUUCUUUUUGUGGCUGAAUAAUAUUGCAUAUAUAUAUGCAUAUAUAUACAUAUAUAAUGUAUAUUUUUGUACAGUGCAUGUGUAACAUUGCAUAUAUAUGCAUAUAUAUAUAUGCUGUGUUGCUCUUUGUACAGUGACUAACAACAGAUAAUCUAUCAAUAUGUUACUACAUCAUAUUAUUUGUGCCUAAACAUUCAUUACUAAGUACACACGUUAAAGGAUGUAAAAAACACAUGUACUAAGUACACAUGUUAAAGGAUGUAAAAAGGAUGUUUUCUUUUUUGGACUUUUAAUUAAGAUCUCAAACCCGGGGAAAAUAGGUAUUAAGUAUCCCCUCAUUCAAAAGCAAGUCACUUGACUGUCUCUGCAGGACUUGCAGAGAGAAUGACUCGAAACUAAUCUGCCUUGAUACCUCCUAUCACCUCCAGGCUAUGUAAGAAUGAGCUAAGGACCAAGAGGUCCAGAGGAAGUCAGAGUGUUGGGACAUCCCCCACCCACAGGGGAGAUGAAAGCUUUUCAAAGAUUACAAAGAGGUCUGUUCUGACAGCAUAGGGAGUGAGCCUGACUUCCAGUGGAUAAGAGUGUGUGUUUCCCAUGGGACAGACAGGUGAGGACUCUGGGUUAUCCUGGAGCAAGAGCCGCUGGAAGCCAGGGCUUGACAGGAGUCAUUGGUGGCCACUGAGGAGAUAUUGUCCAUAACAGGGAGCUGCAGUUGGAGGUCUGCAGUUGGGAAUAUGCAACCCUGGAGAAGCCAAAGGCAGAGUCAGUGGGGAAGACGGGUAGAAGAUCAAGGUAGGGAGAAAUAAUGAAGGAAGUACCACAGUCCCUUUCCCUAUUGCUGAUCUCAAAACAUGAUUCACAGCAGAGCUUAGAAAGGGGGGAAGUUUUAGUUUGUGUAAAAGACUGAAGUUUGGGUAUAUGGUAUUGAAGUUUUAGAAUUUUGAACUAAUGGAAAAGUUCUGGAAUUUGCCUGAGGUCCAUCCAGUGCCAUAGAAGGAAGAUUAAAGAGAGCCAUUUUACCAGAGGAUGGUGAAAAAUACAGUGGCAUUCUGUUUACACACUACUUAGUUCAGGUCAGUUUCAUAUAUUAGUACUAUUUCUUAUUCAUGGGUUUUCAUCUAUGUCCUAUUAUCUGUCUCUUCAUCUAUAUGCCAGAAGUAUACUGUGAUGUCCAUUGUAACUUUCAAUGAUGCUCUAAUAUUUGGCAGAUUAAAAAAUAGUCUCCAUUUGAUAAUGUAUGAUCUUGUAUACAGUACACCCUUAUCUCAUACAACCCUCACCCCAUACAUGCAAGGUUACUAUUUUCCCCAUUUUAGAGCUGAGGCUUAAGGAACUUAAGAUCACAAAGCCAUUAUGUGGCUGUCAGAUCCUUAACCUGCACUCUUGACAUAGGACUGUGCCCAACCUGCUAUGCCCCCUUAUUAAUCUUUUGUCAAGAACUUCACAGAUACUCUUGUCUGUUUAUUUCUCUGUAUUACCUUAGUAUUAGUUUGCCAAUGUAUUUGGCUGAGCGAGUAAUUACCUGAUCAAGUAUAUUCUCUUUCCAGGUUCUCUCUGCCAGAGGAGACUCUUCUUCUAAGGGACAUUUAUUUUUUUUACAUGGUAGUCACUCCAGAUAGGCAGAUUGUCACACUAGUAGGGAAAAAUGCCCCAUGUAUUUUCAUACCUUAGUCUCUUCAUUAGUUCCUUCCUCCCUGGGUUGUUUCCUUAUAACAUUUGCCGUCUAAAGUGUAUCAUGAUUUUUCCUCAACUCUGCAGUGCUUAUAUUAUUUUCCCCACAUUAAACAUUUGGAAUUAACCAUUCCCUUACCUUCCCACUUCCACUUUUUCAAAUUACCCCUUUCUUUAAAGCCUAAUUCAUGUUUCAAAUGCUCCACCAUUAUCCCAGUCAACAGCAGGCAUCUUUUCAGUCUGAAUUUAUUGUGUGCCGCUUGAUAAUGUUAGGAGCCUUCCUGUGAUUUUAUGUUUGCUAUGAAAAGCAUGGCUCUAUCUCAAGGGCUCUUAGUAUGAACUGAUGAGGGUGGGCAAGCCUGUUAUAUGGGGUGAUGAUGGAAUGGGGUGGGGUGGACAGAUCAACUUUUGUGAUAGGUGUGGCCUGACAGCUAACUCUCCAAAUUGUCAACAGUGAAGUGUGCUGCCAACCUAAGCCUGAUUCUAGCCAGCAUCUAUCCCCAGGGCUGAAUGGUCAUGCCGUUCACAUUCAUCUAUGCUCAAUGCAGCCAGGGCAACUUGGACAUGUUUCAAUGUACUGAAGAAUUAAAUCUCCCCAUCUCUCCCUUGAUUCCAGGAUGGAGGCACUCGGGCUGUCAGGCAUUUAAAAAAUAAACCUCAAGUGUCUUUUCUAUGUCAAGCAUUGACCUAGAAGUGAGAUAGGGAAGACAAGCACUGUGCCUUCAUGGGGCUUAUAACACCAGUGGAAGGAGAAAGAAAAGUACAAAGUCAGAAGUUCAUGACUGCAGUCAUGGACUCACAGCCCAAGGAAGUCUUUCUGAGUCAAAGGAGACAUGUAGAAGAGCAUUUAGAGCAAGGGUUCUCAACUGGGGGUAAUUUUGACCUCCAAAGGACAUUUGGCAAUGUCUAAAGACACUUUUAAUUGUCAUAACUGUGGGAGUGGAGGCUGCUAGUGGUGUCUUGUGAGUAGAGAGGCUAGGGAUGCUGUUAAACCUCCCAAAUGCACAGGACAGCCUCACAACAAAGAAUUAUCUGGCCCCGAACAUCAGGUGUGCCAAGUUUGAGAAACCCUUCUUUAGUGGGAGGGCAAAGAAGCUGAGGGAAUCAGGACUUUCACUGACUGGGCUGGGGUUCAGGGCUGAGAGCCAGUAAUAAUAGGAAUAAGGACAAACAAAACAAAACAAACAAAACAAAAGCCUGAAAACUACGGCAGAGGGUGAGUUGGAUGUAUAGAUUAGCAGCAGCAGUAGUGUCAUGCAGCUGUCAUAAGUGACAGCUUGGGGAGCUUGGCUACAGAAGAUGAUUCCCAGAGCCAUUUAAGGCAAAGGAACGCCUACAUGCCUGUGAUGGACUCAGAGUGAACCUGCAGGUGCUGGCUACUACUGGCUGAGUGAAGGAAGUCAAUAGGGUUGAAAGUGGCCUUUAAGUGGGCCUGGUGGCUCACGCCUGUAAUCUCAGCACUUUGGGAGGCCAAGGCGGGUGGAUCACGAGGUCAGGCGUUUGAGACCAGUCUGGCCAACAUAGUGAAACCCUGUCUCUACUAAAAAUACAAAAAAUUAGCUGGGAGUGGUGGUGCGCACCUAUAAUCCCAGCUACUCAGGAGGCUGAGGCAGGAGAAUCGCUUGAACCUGGGAGGCAGAGGGUGCAGUGAGCCGAGAUCACGCCACUGCACUCCAGCCCAGGCGACGGUGCAAGACUGUCAAAAAAAAAAAAAAAAAAAGAAAGAAAAGAAAGAAAGACAGAAAGUGGACUUUCAGUAUUUCCUAAAUAAUUUCAGGGUAGGGACUAAUUCUUAGCAUGUUUAUGUUCUCCAUAAUGCUUAACCAAGUGUCCUAUAUUUGUUCAAUUACUGCUUAUUAAUUGACUGAUUGAUGGUGUCCUUAAUUGGUCAUGCCAUUUCCAUCCACCUAUGCUCAGCACAGCCAGGACAAUUUGGACAUCUUCCAAUGUAUUGAAGAAUUAAAUCUCCCAGUGAGGAUCUUGGCAAUCAUAUCACCAAUAGGCUUGGAUUCAAAUCUGCAUUUAAAUAGCAAUGAAACAAACACACUCCAUCCCUGUGGAUAGCAAGCAGCAUAAUCUGCUUACUUAUGGCUGGGCACCUGUGAGAAAUGAAAGUGAUAGGCAGUAACUUCAGUGAUGAAUUACAGAACAGUUUCAUUUAGCUCAUUGCACCAAGACAAAGCAUCCCAGCAGCCUCUGGAGAAAUUAAUGUACCUUAACUUGAAUUAGUGGAUAAUUUCAGAUCAGCUAUUUUACAUAUCUAGCUGCUUCUCCUUCCCUCCAUAGGCCACCUCUUGCCCUUUCUCUUCCUAAAUCUGGCUCUCAAAGCUAAGUAUUCUAGAAGUUAAACAUUGAAGUAGAAAUCAGUGGACAUGAUUCAUGUCCUUACCCUCUCAGCAGAUGCCUAGCCUUGUUCCUUUUUUACAGAGCCUUGUUUUCACAAUUGUCAUGUUAGCUCAUGGAGGAAGUUGUUACUUCCUCCCAUGAUAGUUACAUGACCAUGGAGAACCCUAGAAGUCAGACAGACUUUACAAUCCAAAGAAAAUUACUCCUCGGUGGUAGGAUUUUAGGUACCACAAAGGCAACUGUGGACAGAGAAAGCCUCUGACUGCCCCUAAAAAUCACAUCAUAUCUACAAAUAAAUAAUGAUGCCAUUGCUUGAUCAUUAAAUUCCUGUGGGAUGUUGGCCGUGAAACUUCAUCUUUUUGUAUCUCUAUUUCUCCCUUCCUGAUGAUACUUCCUUUCCAUUUGCCAAUCCACAACUGGCAAGGAGAUCAUCAAACGCAGUGGGCAAAGGCAGAAUUUCUCUCUUUCUCAUAGUAUUUGCUGUAGUUCCACACAUGGUGACUGAACACCUGGAGCAGAGGCCCCGUUGCACACUGAAUUGGCCUCAUUAUAUCAUGAGCAAGAUCUUCUAUCACUGUUACUCCUUAUUGUUGUGAAGACUUCUUUUAUGUCUGGAAAGACAUUUAGGCAACUUAGCAUUGUGAUAGAAAACAGCUAAACUACUACAGUUUUCUAAGUUCAAAUCAAGAUUUCACUCACCCCCUAGCAUCUUACUAAAACCUGGGUUUCCUAUAGGGGAGGAUAAAUUGCCCACAAAGUUAUGACUACCAGAAUUGGGACUCUGUUCUGUGAAGUAGAAAUAAAUGCAGAGACCAUUUUUUCAUCCUAGAGUAAGUAGAAAAAAAGCAACAGUUAUUUUCACUUUCUUUUGGCACACUUGGUUUGGCCUAAAACCAUCAACUGUAGAGGUAUAUUGGUCUUGAAAAGAAAAAACAACCAAGGUGUACAGAAAAGGAAGUGCCUACUUGCAUAGUGGAGUUAGAGAAGGUUUCCCAGAGAGGCCAUUUUACUUGGCCAUUGAAUGCUGCAAAAGUAGAACUUUUAUAGACAUGCAAGUAUCAGAGGCAUGUGAACCAGAACAACUCCAUCUUGAAUAGGAACUGGGCAAAAUGAGGCUGAAACCUACUGGGCUGCAUUCCCAGACAGUUAAGGCAUUCUAAGUCACAGAAUGAGAUAGGAGGUCGGCACAAGAUACAGGUCAUAAAGAUCUUGCUGAUAAAACAGGUUGCUGUAAAGAAGCUGGCUAAAUCCUACCAAAACCAAGAUGGCCAGGAUAGUGACCUCUGGUCAUCCUCACUGCUACACUCCCACCAGUGCCAUGACAGUUUGCAAACGCCAUGGCAACGUCAGGAAGUUACCCUAUAUGGUCUGAAAAAGGGGAGCACGAAUAAUCCACCCCAUGUUUAGCAUAUCAUCAAGAAAUAACCGUAAAAAUGGGCAACCAGCAGCCCUCGGCUAUGCUGUCUAUGGAGUACUCAUUCUUUUAUUCCUUUACUUUCUUAAUGAACUUGCUUUCACUUUUCACUGCGGACUCGCCCUGAAUUCUUUCUUGUGUGAGAUCCAACAACCCUCUCUAGGGGUCUGGAUGGGGACCCCUUUCCUGUAACAUAUUUCUCUGUCCUGUAACACUAAGAAUAACAAGACAUUACAGCUGUUUCUGUAAUAAACAGCCAAUAAACAUUAACAGCUUAAAAUGGUAAAGGUUUAUUUCUUUCACUGUGUGCCCUUUCUGGGUUUGCAGGCACAUUGUGUAUUACUGUCAUUCAGGAAGCAAGCUUCAAAGUUGCUUGUUACCAUGCCAGAGACAAAAUUAAAUAUAUCAAAACAUACUGGCUCCAAAAGUGACACACAACACUUCUACUCAACUUCCACUGGGGAACACAAGGCACAUGGCCACGCCUAACUUCAAGUGGGCGGGAGAGUCAUUCUUCCAUGUUCCUGGAGAGUGGGAAGCAGAAUAUUUGUGAGUAGCCUUAAAACUAUCCUGAGGCAUGUGGCUAAGAAGAAAGGCAUCAAAGAGCCUGGCAUGUUUGAGACACAGUAAAAAGGUGAAAUCUUAGCUUGGAAACCACCAAUGAAAAACGUUAUAUGCCAUACAAUUUGGAAUUUGUUCUGAAGGUGUGAAAAGUUUUUUUAAAAAGGAUGUUAAGCCAAGGAAUGAUGUAUUACAUUUGUUUGAGGUACCUGAUAAUCAGAUUAAAUCAGAUUCCAGCGCAAUGAUCCCCCUUGCUGCCACAUGUGGAAAAAUUCACAGAUAACCUUGAUGGGCUCCUCCAUAUGGGCUCCUAGGAAGAAAGAGUGAGCCAGGGUUCAUGAUGGGGCAGCACCAAUUUGCUUUCCUGAUUUUGUAACAGGGAAAGCAAAGUAUUAAGCAGUAUGGAGUGAUCAUUUUGCACUGUAGCAUACUUCUUAAAGUUCAUUCAGGUACCAGAGGCAUUACCAUGCAUUAUGCUAGGAGCACUGCCCCAUGGCCAGUAAACUGAAAUGCUAUUUCCAGACUGGUAAAAAGUGAGAUUAGCAAAUGUGUUUACAACUUGCAAUCCUAGCCCUUCACCCAGGAGCUGUGUUGAAACAACCUGAAUCUAAGGGCAUAAUUAAGAGGACCCAGGGAUUUAUAGUUUGAGGCUUUUUGCCUGAGUACUUUCCCCAAUUCACCCACUACUCUGAGCACAGAAAUCCACAAAUGUGCUGUCCUGAGGUGUGAGAGGGCAAAGGUCACAGCAUUAGAGCAACCAGAAUGUUCAAAAGUGUGUUGGUUUCCUACGGCUGCUGUAACAAGUGGCUAUAAACUAGGUGGACUGCAAUAGCAAAAAUUUAUUCUCUCACAGUUCUGGCUGUCAGCAGCCUGAAAUCAGGGAGUCAGCAGAGCCGUGCUCCCUCUGGAGGCUCUAGGGAAAAUCCAUUCCUUGCCUUUUCAAAUUUCUGGUGACUCUAGGCAUUCUUUGGCUUGCAAAUUAUCACUACACUCUCUGCUUCCAAAGUCACAUUGCCUCCUACUCUUCUGUAUGUCUUCUUUUAUGUGUCUCUGUCCCAACACUUCCUGUCUCUCUCUUAUUAGAAUACAUGUGAUUGCAUUUAGGGCACACCCAGAUAAUCCAGGAUAAAUUCCUGCUCUCAAGAUUCUUAAUCACAUCUUUGCCCCAUUCAUUUCAUUUAUUCAUUUUGAAGGUAACAUUCAUAGGUUCCAGGGAUUAAGAUGCAGAAAUAUAUUUUGGCAGGGGUGGGGGGGGCUACCAUUCAACCCACUCUAUAGUGGAAAUCCUGGAAGGAAGGGUUCCUCAGAGGGAUUGAGCCCCAAAAUAUGCAUUUAAAAUAUGCCCAAAGCUUUGGCUAGCUGUCAAACUAUACUAUAAGUGUGGGACCCAAGAGAGCCUGAUCAAAAAGAAGCAGCUGAAAACUGAAAAAACUGAGUGGAGAUUCUAGCUGCUGCCAAUGGAAAGGGAGACCAUUUGGAGUUUGACUCUAGCUAAGUUAACUCUCUGCUAGAAAAAAAACAAAUCAUGCUCCAGAGAAAUAACAGAAUCUAAAGCCUCCAUGGAGGAGUUGGCUUCAGGUCAAAAUUGUAUAACCAUAAACAAUUACAAAGAUUUACCUGGCAGCCUGGCAAGGGGGAAAACUUACCCUCCCUCCCCGUGCCAGACUUGGUGCACAGUUAGUACAUUGCAAUCUCUGAAGGAAGUUGAGACUCCUUCAGAGACUGAAGACUCUGAAGUGGAGGACUCAGUCACCCUCUCCACCAACCCUAGCUAGCCAUGCUCUUGUGCAUAUCUGCAUUUCCAGCCAAGGCACCUCCAUUCAGCAGCCUCCUUAUGGGUAGGGUGGGGUGGGGUUCAGCUUAGAUACCAUGCAGGCACCACUGCUAAGACCUCCUUAUCCUUGAGGACACUUUUCACCACUCUGACUCAGUCUUUCAUGCGUAUCUUUUUCCUGUUUCUCUCAUUCCAUCCCCCGAGUCCAGAAAAUGGCAGGAACCUUUUGUUCCCCAGCUGCAGUGAUCCAUCUGACCCUCACCUGGUGGCACUCCAUGAGGAAAAAAUGGAGCAUUGAGAGAACUGGCACUACUCUUCUCUUUUUGGCCUCUUGCUUAGACUAACACAGUAAGUGAAUAAAGGCUUGAUUGUUGCUUUCAGUUUGGCUGUUGCCUGAAUUGAUCACCUUGACACCUCAUAGCUCUCAACAUCUACUCUAUAUAUUCAUAAUGUACAGUUUUCAGUUAAAAAAUAAGACAUGUAGAAACACAAAAAUGAUGGUGAUACUCAAGAAGAAGGAAGAUGAGGACGAGGAGAAAAAUAUAAACCAGACCCAAUAUUGUCUAGAUGCUGCAAUUAUCAGACAAGGACUUUAAUGCAGCUGUUAUAAAUAUAGUCAAGGACUUAAAGGAAAAUAUAUGUACAAUGAAUAAGCAAAUGGAGAAUAUCCAUAGUGAAAAAAACUAUAUUAAAGAACAAAAUUUGAAUUCUAGAGCUGAAAAAAAUAAAAUUAUAGAAAUAAAAAUUUAUUGACUUAACUGUAGAUUAAAAAUAGCAAGAGUCAGUGAAUUUGAAAAUAGAUCAAUAGAAAUGAUCUAAUCCGAAGAACAGAGAAAAAAUGAUGGAAUUAAAAUGAACAGUCUCUCAGAGAACUGUCAAACCAUUUAUCAAGUAGCUUAAUGUGUAUGCAAUUGGAGUCCUGGGAAGAGAAGAGAUAAAAAAAAUUGAGCAGAAAAAAUACUUAAAGAAACACUGAAUGAAACUUAUGAAGGACAUCAAUUUAAAGAUCCAAAAUGCGCCCACAAACCCCAAUAAAUAUAAAUGCAAAGAAAAUCACAUCAAGACAUAUCAUAGUCAAAUAGAUAAAAUGGAAAGAUAAAAAAGAAUUUUGAAAGCAACCAGAGAAACAAUGAUGUAUUACAUACAGUGGAAAAUGGAUGCAGAUCACGGCUGGCUUCUUAUCAGAAACAAUAAAGAAUGGAAAACAAUGGCUACUUUCCUGGCAAAACCUAUGCUAUGACUCAUAUCUCAGUCAUAUUAUAAGCUACAGCUAAUAGAUAGAAAUCUGCUCUAAUCACCCACACAAAGUGUCAUUAUAGAGACUAGAGCCAGGUUUCUUACUCAUUAUGGAGUAGAAGAGGCAGUGUAUAGGCUUCUUGGGAUACUAACUAAAAGACACUGGGACCAAGGCUUCAAAGAAACAAUGUCAAGUUGGGGAACAGAGGCCUCAGAAUUGGGGAAGUCAAAAGCUAAAAAUGCAGUACCAGCUGUUUACAGCAGGCCCACUGCCAUCUUAAACCUAUAGUAGGGCUUGAGCAGGCACAUUGGCUUCAGGAUCUGAUUUUUAAGAUGGAGAUGGCAAGAAUAGCGUUGUAGCCUCUAAGAUUAGGCCUACAAGUCCCCUUAACAAGAGUAGUUGCUCUAACAUAUUGAUUCUUUACAAUAGACCAACAACUUGGGGAUUCAAUUAUUCAUUAAACAAAUAUUUAUCAUGCACCUACUCUGUUAGGCUAUUUUACAUUCUGGAGAUACAUCAGUAAGAAAAUAAGGCAAAUCUUAUUGCUCUUAUGUUGCUUAUAUUCCAGCAGAAAGAAAGAAAGAAAAAUUAUGAUAAAUAAGUAAAUUAUCUUAUAUUAGCAAGUAAUAAUUAGUAUGGAAAAAACAGAGAGAUUGUGAGUGUUGAAGGAAUAUUGAAAUUUUAGAUGGGAUGGUCAGGGUAGGCUUCACUUAGAAGGUGACAUUUGAGCAAAGAGUUUAAUGAUAAGGAAGCAUUGUGAAUAUCUUGGGAAAGAGUUUUGCAGGCAGGGAUAAUAGCCAGUGCAAAGACCCUGAGGCAAGAAUGUGCUUUCGGCUGCACAAGGCCUAGUUCAUGCAUCCAAACAAGAGGUUGGAGCAGUUUAUUUCCUCUCUCUUUGAGGUCAGGAUGGAUUUUGGGAACUGAAGUGGACUGAGCCAACAAGGCAGGGAUCAAUAUCCAGCAGCUAUAAGGAGAAGUGGGGAUGCCAAGGCUGAGACUAGGACUGGGCCUGAGAACAGUAGUAUGAACUCUGCCACUUCUCACUCAAACUAUCGUCUAGCUUUUCUCUUUUUCCUGGAUCUUCUUUGUGCCUAAUCGAUAUGUUAUUUGUAAGCAUGAAAUCUGACUUUAUGAACUCUGUGAUAAUGUACAAUGUUUUCAAGUUGUUUCACUAAAGGAGUAAUUAUAAAGUCUUAAUUGCUUAUCUUUUAUAUCAAAGCAUUGAAAUAACAUUUAAAUAGAUCAAAGUGUUUAGAGAAAGAUGCAAAUUGGCUUUAUCACAAGAAUGUGGGAGAAUCUGGACUUUGACUUGGCAUAUAAGUUGGGUUGCCUGUCCAGUACCACCUUAACUCCUGAAAAAUAGGGGCUCCUGCUCAAACUGAGGCUGUACCUAUCACAAACACCAAUGAAUGUGGUAAAGAACACAUAAUACUUUUGGCCACAACUAGUCAGUGCUGGUUCAUUGUUACCCAUAACUCAGCAUUUGCUCCUGUGGUUAACACCACUCAGGCCCCAAAGAAAUGCUUCAGUACAUUUCUUGGUCUGUGUGCUCAAAGUACAAAGUAACUGUUUCAAUAAUACUGUAAGGUUUAUGGGUUAUGCUGCUGUUGAUAUUGGACACAAAUGGCUUUGAAGUGCAAGAGAACUGGAGCAGUGAAAGUGCGUAGUUAAGUGAAAAGAUAAAUUAUUUGACUUGUCAAAUCUCUACUCUCAGAUAGCAUGCAUACAAUGAAUUCUUGUGCAACGAAGUAUAAUUUCUCUAUAAUGCUGAGUGUCUAUUUUUUUGCUCUUUGAUUUCAUGUCUUCAGAGUUUCUCACAAAUUAGUAUGGAAUCCCAACAAUUGCAAAUGGCAGCUGAGGAAUAUUUUAUAAUAUCAAAUAAUUCACAUCACUUAAAUUUUCAUAUGUGUAGGUCUAUACAUAACUUUUGUAGUGCAUAACACAAAUUUUUACUUUGACAAUUAGAUGGAUAUGGUAUAAGAUAAUUGUGAAUGAUUUCAUGUAAAAAAUGUUUGAUAAGAUUUAUUUUCAAAAAGUAAAAUAAAAGUUGAUAUUCAC
RNAcentral lists this long non-coding RNA (17608 nucleotides) under Homo sapiens (human). RNAcentral's name for it is "non-protein coding lnc-POLE4-15:13". Lineage: Eukaryota; Metazoa; Chordata; Mammalia; Primates; Hominidae. The record is from RNAcentral.